Molecule: transfer RNA, 75 nt
Filed under: Alosa alosa (allis shad)
Lineage: Eukaryota; Metazoa; Chordata; Actinopteri; Clupeiformes; Clupeidae
Description: tRNA-Tyr
Rfam family: tRNA
About the family: Transfer RNA (tRNA) molecules are approximately 80 nucleotides in length. Their secondary structure includes four short double-helical elements and three loops (D, anti-codon, and T loops). Further hydrogen bonds mediate the characteristic L-shaped molecular structure. tRNAs have two regions of fundamental functional importance: the anti-codon, which is responsible for specific mRNA codon recognition, and the 3' end, to which the tRNAs corresponding amino acid is attached (by aminoacyl-tRNA synthetases). tRNAs cope with the degeneracy of the genetic code in two manners: having more than one tRNA (with a specific anti-codon) for a particular amino acid; and 'wobble' base-pairing, i.e. permitting non-standard base-pairing at the 3rd anti-codon position.
Source: RNAcentral
CCUUCGAUAGCUCAGUUGGUAGAGCGGAGGACUGUAGAUCCUUAGGUCGCUGGUUGGUUCGACUCGCUCGAAGGA